CCUACGGGUGGCAGCAGUGAGGAAUAUUUGUCAAUGGACGAGAGUCUGAACCAGCCAAGUAGCGUGAAGGAUGGCUGCCCUAUGGGUUGUAAACUUCUGUUAUCUGGGAAUAAAAUGUUCCACUUGUGGGAUUUUGUAUGUACCAUAUGAAUAAGGUUCGGCUAACUCCGUUCCAGCAGCCGCGGUAAUACGGCGGAUCCUAGCGUUGUCCGGAUUUAUUGGGUUUAAAGGGGGCGUAGGUGGAUUGUUAAGUCAGUUGUGAAAGUUUGCGGCUCAACCGUAAAAUUGCAGUUGAAACUGGCAGUCUUGAGUACAGUAGAGGUGGGCGGAAUUCGUGGUGUAGCGGUGAAAUGCGUAGAUAUCACGAAGAACUCCGAUUGCGAAGGCAGUUCACUGGACUGCAACUGACACUGAGGCUCGAAAGUGAGGGUAUCAAACAGGAUUAGAUACCCCAGUAGUC
This 460-nucleotide ribosomal RNA is filed under the name uncultured bacterium. RNAcentral describes it as "partial 16S ribosomal RNA". It matches the Rfam family "Bacterial small subunit ribosomal RNA", at positions 338 to 795 of the family's 1533-position model. The record is from RNAcentral.